UGGGGAAUAUUGCGCAAUGGGCGAAAGCCUGACGCAGCGACGCCGCGUGAGGGACGACGGCCUUCGGGUUGUAAACCUCUUUCAGCAGGGACGAAGCGAAAGUGACGGUACCUGCAGAAGAAGCACCGGCCAACUACGUGCCAGCAGCCGCGGUAAUACGUAGGGUGCAAGCGUUGUCCGGAAUUAUUGGGCGUAAAGAGCUCGUAGGCGGUCUGUCACGUCGGAUGUGAAAACUCGGGGCUCAACCCCGAGCCUGCAUACGAUACGGGCAGACUUGAGUUCGGCAGGGGAGACUGGAAUUCCUGGUGUAGCGGUGAAAUGCGCAGAUAUCAGGAGGAACACCGGUGGCGAAGGCGGGUCUCUGGGCCGAUACUGACGCUGAGGAGCGAAAGCGUGGGGAGCGAACA
RNAcentral lists this ribosomal RNA (407 nucleotides) under uncultured Actinomycetales bacterium. Its description in RNAcentral is "partial 16S ribosomal RNA". It matches the Rfam family "Bacterial small subunit ribosomal RNA", at positions 355 to 774 of the family's 1533-position model. The record is from RNAcentral. Lineage: Bacteria; Bacillati; Actinomycetota; Actinomycetes; Actinomycetales.